CAGUAGCCGCGGGAAUACGAAGGGGGCUAGCGUUGUUCGGAUUUACUGGGCGUAAAGGGUGCGUAGGCGGAUUGUUAAGUCAGGGGUGAAAUCCCGAGGCUCAACCUCGGAACUGCCUUUGAUACUGGCGAUCUUGAGUCCGGGAGAGGUGAGUAGAACUGCGAGUGUAGAGGUGAAAUUCGUAGAUAUUCGCAAGAACACCGGUGGCGAAGGCGGCUCACUGGCCCGGUACUGACGCUGAGGCACGAAAGCGUGGGGAGCAAACAGGAUUAGAUACCCGGGUAGUCCCUGUCUCUUAUAC
RNAcentral lists this ribosomal RNA (301 nucleotides) under uncultured bacterium. RNAcentral's name for it is "partial 16S ribosomal RNA". It matches the Rfam family "Bacterial small subunit ribosomal RNA", at positions 509 to 807 of the family's 1533-position model. The record is from RNAcentral.